AGGAUGUCGGGGUCAGUCACCCAGCUACACAGCCAGCCACGGAGUAAGAGUGAAAGGAAAAUACUCACUUGCAUACAGAUUUCAUGAUAUCUUAAAAAGAAAUAGCUAACUCAACUCAAGUGGACAAUUUAGAAGAAUUGAAAUAGGAAGAAAAAAAAUCUUCAUCUGUGUAAUCGCAUAUGAAGCAGAAUAAUGUGUCUGAGAAAUGAC
Molecule: long non-coding RNA, 210 nt
Filed under: Cricetulus griseus (Chinese hamster)
Lineage: Eukaryota; Metazoa; Chordata; Mammalia; Rodentia; Cricetidae
Description: lncRNA (ENSCGRG00000026067.1)
Source: RNAcentral